This 225-nucleotide ribosomal RNA is filed under the name uncultured bacterium. RNAcentral's name for it is "partial 16S ribosomal RNA". It matches the Rfam family "Bacterial small subunit ribosomal RNA", at positions 15 to 244 of the family's 1533-position model. The record is from RNAcentral.
GAUCCUGGCUCAGGAUGAACGCUGGCGGCGUGCCUAAUACAUGCAAGUCGAACGCUUCACAUAUGUGAAGAGUGGCGAACAGGUGAGUAAUACAUAAGUAACCUGGCCUUUACAGGGGGAUAACUAUUGGAAACGAUAGCUAAGACCGCAUAGGUGUCAUAACCACAUGGAGAUGAUAUGAAAUAUGCUACGGCAUAGGUAGAGGAUGGACUUAUGGCGCAUUAG